UUAAAUUGAAGAGUUUGAUCAUGGCUCAGAUUGAACGCUGGCGGCAGGCCUAACACAUGCAAGUCGAACGGUAACAGGAAGCAGCUUGCUGCUUUGCUGACGAGUGGCGGACGGGUGAGUAAUGUCUGGGAAACUGCCUGAUGGAGGGGGAUAACUACUGGAAACGGUAGCUAAUACCGCAUAACGUCGCAAGACCAAAGAGGGGGACCUUCGGGCCUCUUGCCAUCGGAUGUGCCCAGAUGGGAUUAGCUAGUAGGUGGGGUAACGGCUCACCUAGGCGACGAUCCCUAGCUGGUCUGAGAGGAUGACCAGCCACACUGGAACUGAGACACGGUCCAGACUCCUACGGGAGGCAGCAGUGGGGAAUAUUGCACAAUGGGCGCAAGCCUGAUGCAGCCAUGCCGCGUGUAUGAAGAAGGCCUUCGGGUUGUAAAGUACUUUCAGCGGGGAGGAAGGUGUUGAGGUUAAUAACCUCAGCAAUUGACGUUACCCGCAGAAGAAGCACCGGCUAACUCCGUGCCAGCAGCCGCGGUAAUACGGAGGGUGCAAGCGUUAAUCGGAAUUACUGGGCGUAAAGCGCACGCAGGCGGUCUGUCAAGUCGGAUGUGAAAUCCCCGGGCUCAACCUGGGAACUGCAUUCGAAACUGGCAGGCUAGAGUCUUGUAGAGGGGGGUAGAAUUCCAGGUGUAGCGGUGAAAUGCGUAGAGAUCUGGAGGAAUACCGGUGGCGAAGGCGGCCCCCUGGACAAAGACUGACGCUCAGGUGCGAAAGCGUGGGGAGCAAACAGGAUUAGAUACCCUGGUAGUCCACGCCGUAAACGAUGUCGACUUGGAGGUUGUGCCCUUGAGGCGUGGCUUCCGGAGCUAACGCGUUAAGUCGACCGCCUGGGGAGUACGGCCGCAAGGUUAAAACUCAAAUGAAUUGACGGGGGCCCGCACAAGCGGUGGAGCAUGUGGUUUAAUUCGAUGCAACGCGAAGAACCUUACCUACUCUUGACAUCCAGAGAACUUUCCAGAGAUGGAUUGGUGCCUUCGGGAACUCUGAGACAGGUGCUGCAUGGCUGUCGUCAGCUCGUGUUGUGAAAUGUUGGGUUAAGUCCCGCAACGAGCGCAACCCUUAUCCUUUGUUGCCAGCGGUUAGGCCGGGAACUCAAAGGAGACUGCCAGUGAUAAACUGGAGGAAGGUGGGGAUGACGUCAAGUCAUCAUGGCCCUUACGAGUAGGGCUACACACGUGCUACAAUGGCGCAUACAAAGAGAAGCGACCUCGCGAGAGCAAGCGGACCUCAUAAAGUGCGUCGUAGUCCGGAUUGGAGUCUGCAACUCGACUCCAUGAAGUCGGAAUCGCUAGUAAUCGUGGAUCAGAAUGCCACGGUGAAUACGUUCCCGGGCCUUGUACACACCGCCCGUCACACCAUGGGAGUGGGUUGCAAAAGAAGUAGGUAGCUUAACCUUCGGGAGGGCGCUUACCACUUUGUGAUUCAUGACUGGGGUGAAGUCGUAACAAGGUAACCGUAGGGGAACCUGCGGUUGGAUCACCUCCUUACCUUAAAGAA
Molecule: ribosomal RNA, 1554 nt
Filed under: Enterobacter cloacae
Lineage: Bacteria; Pseudomonadati; Pseudomonadota; Gammaproteobacteria; Enterobacterales; Enterobacteriaceae
Also listed under: 4 other names
Description: bacterial SSU rRNA
Rfam family: Bacterial small subunit ribosomal RNA
Source: RNAcentral